CCACUACAUAAUUAUUCAUUGUCUUUACAAUUAACAAUCUAAAGCUACCACAGUUCUUCAAUCAAGGUAUAUAUCUACAUAUAUAGACACUUCAUAAUUUCGUCCCUUGUCUUCCAUAAACGUAGCACGAAAAUUUGAUACAUAGUAUUGUAAGACAGGUCGUAGAAGCAGUCUUCCUGCACAUAUUUAAAAUAAUAGCAAAGUCAGAAAAAUGAAGCAAAUAGGUCACCAGAGGCACUUAGUGCCAAAAUCAAUCCACAAAGACAAUAAGGUUGCUACGUGGUACUAAUGUACACAGUAUUGCUCAUAAGCAGAAAAAGACAAAUAGACAAUCACAAUAUCAUUUGCUACAAAUCCAAAUAGAAAAAGAACCUUCAGUGCGACUAUAUGAUUGCUCUGUUACAAGAAAAAAUUGGAAUCUUAAUCGGCCAUUUCAUGAAUUAAUUUCAGUAAGCAUAGUGGCAUAUUUUCUGUUACAAGACUUGUAGAUUAUUAUUAUAUGUUGACCUCAAGUCAGAAUUCAGUCACAUUCAACAAUCACAAGCAUCACACAAUCUUAAAUACCAUCACACAAUCUUAAAUAACAAUGUUUAUAUUUCUAGAUAGAAAGGUCAACAAUUAUGAAAAAGUUGAGGCUAUUAGUCAAUGUGGAAAAACUUUUUUUGAGACGACAAAUUUUCAUACAGUAUAUGCCCCAAAGAUGCUAGCUAUAAUCACAAACAUCAUAGAUUUAUUUGCCAAGAUUUCAACAUGUUGCAACAGACAUUGGAAAGACACAUUUAUUGAUAACUUAAGAAUUUUUAAGUGGUAAGGGCAAAACAUACCCAGGUCAGCGAGAUAAGUUCCUCCCCUUUAUAAUUGGGUCCUACAAGAAUAGGAUAGCUUAAAGCCUCUGUUGCGAGCUUUGAACUGUGAUCACUGGUUUGAUGUUAUGGCAGUGUCAGCUGAAGUAAGUGAUACUUUGUGUGUUGUUUUACUUGUGUAUUUUAUGGAGUACUCACAUUUUCGAGGUCUCUCUCAAGUUGCAGCAGAGAAGCCAAACCCCAUGAUUUUCCUAAGAGCUUGCGAGUUGUUGGAUUUGAAACCAGAGGAUGCUGUUCAUGUAGGAGAUGAUCGUAGGAAUGACAUAUGGGGUGCAAGAGAUGCAGGUUGUGAUGCUUGGCUCUGGGGAAGUGAUGUCCAUUCCUUCAAGGAGGUAAUUUGUAAAUUAACUUUUUUCCCCUCGCUAUGUAGCUUUGCGAUCUGCAUAUCUUCUCAUGUUUUCUGCUAUUAGCGGUUCAAUUGAUUAUUACAAAGUUUUAUUAUUACUUUUUGGCAGCUCCAAAUUUCUGCAUUGUUGUUUUGUUGCAUUAGUAUACUGUUUAUAAAAGUACACAUUGUUUUUGCAAAUCUUAGAAAGAAGGAACAUGCCGGAUAUGUCAACGUUAUGUCUUUCAACCUUGUAUGGGCCAACUUUAUCUAGCUUGGUUUCCAUGCAUAUGAUUUUUCACUAGGUGUGUUAUGGUUUAAAGCCUCACAAAUUUAAAAUAUAACAAUACCAAGUAAUAAAAUCAUUACAUUUUGUGAUGCAGGUUGCUCAAAGGAUUGGAGUCAAGGUAUGAAUCAAUGGUAAUUCAGUUUCAGCACCUAGAAGAAUGCUUCCAGUUGUAUAAUGGCUUUUCAUCCAUCCUGUACCUCCCCAUAAGCAGUUGUACAUAUUCUCUUCUUUUUGUGAUAUGUAGAGAGAUGAGAUGUGUAAGGAUGCAACUACUUUGAGAAUAGAAUAAAUGGCAUAAACAGGGCUUUAUUAAUGAUACAAUUAGGAUGUUUUUUUCUCUCCAAUAAAGUUACUGCCUUUGAAAUCCAUUCGAUUAUGCGGCCACAAUUUGCAGAUUAUAAAUCUUUUUAAGUUGAAAUGGUCUUUGCUAGAAAUUUGGUAAAUGGUCUUUUCAUAUCCAGUUAUAUUUUACUAUAUUUAUAUUUUCUUAUAUAUCUCCUGUCUAAUUUAUUAGAUGAAGUUAUAUAAAAAGAAAUGUUUAGCACCAAACAAGUACACUAUCCAACUUGGUAAAUACUAAUGUUGUUUUACUUGCGUCUUUUAUGGAGAACAUACCCAGGUCAGCUUAAAGCUACUUAUACAACUUACCAAUUUAUAGUAAAAGCAGUGGCAAUAUAAAUUGCAAGGGAAUUGUUUACAAGCAGAAUUCCUAUGACCAGAUGAUGAUGCAAGAACAUACCAGUGUGUCAGGAUCUUUUAACUUCUACAAAGCUUCUCUAACGGUUUGCUGGCAAAACUCACAGCUAUCCUUCCUGAGAUG
Molecule: long non-coding RNA, 2297 nt
Filed under: Panax ginseng (ginseng)
Lineage: Eukaryota; Viridiplantae; Streptophyta; Magnoliopsida; Apiales; Araliaceae
Description: long non-coding RNA (PGIN_LNC005011)
Source: RNAcentral